Long non-coding RNA from Misgurnus anguillicaudatus (oriental weatherfish), 189 nucleotides. RefSeq lists it as uncharacterized. NCBI's taxonomy places the organism in Eukaryota, Metazoa, Chordata, Actinopteri, Cypriniformes, Cobitidae. The record is from RefSeq and is a predicted model, not a curated record.
UUUUAAUGGGUCAAGAGGUCAGUGGAAGAAGUGCAGUGGAGGAAGGCAAAAGGCUAUGUUCUACAUGUUAAAUUCAAAUCUGAAUUUCUGCAUCCAGUCCAUAUAUCCGGCCCAGUAUCCACAUAUGUUUUCCUAACAUUCCAGGCUGAUGGAAUAUCUUCAGGCCAUGAGCGGAGAGGUGAAACAUUU